This is a long non-coding RNA of Anas platyrhynchos (mallard), 1851 nucleotides long. RefSeq lists it as uncharacterized. Lineage: Eukaryota; Metazoa; Chordata; Aves; Anseriformes; Anatidae. The record is from RefSeq and is a predicted model, not a curated record.
GGUCUGUUCUUUCAGCGUGUCCCACUGCUGUGUCAGGACUGAAGACGUCAGCACGGUGUUGCCUUGCUCAUGGCCUCAGAGGAGGAGGAAUAAGAAGGAUCACUGAACGGGUGACGCAGGAAAAGGAGGAUUACACUGCAUGUGAUGGCAGAAGGAGGAUGGAAGAGCAUUCUUGCAAGCAGUCCAUGACCACAGAGAUCUGCGAUAGAUGUUCUUCACGUCCUCCCUGCUACACUGCGCUGCUGCCUUCCUUCCAGCUGCCUCAGCAAGGCUGCUCGGGGCAAGGGGGAGAAGCGCUGCGAGUGACACCAACGGCAGGGACAGGGACAGGCUCAGCUUGAGGGGGGAAAACAAAGCUGGCAAGGGGCCAGGCUGCAGGAAACACAAGAGAAAAUCAAGGCCUGAGGAACAGAAAAGGAUGAAGAGAAGAACUGAAAGGAUAAUUGCAGAUGGGGAGACUAAGCUGUCUGCCAGCUCGGAGGCUUAAAAAGGAAGCCUCUGCCCUUCAGGCUGGAAGUGGACUCAUGUCAGACACCAAAUCCCACAACAUCUACUCAAACAAAUCUGAGCCUGGAGACGUCCACACAGCUCUGGGCAAAUCGAGGUGCUCAGCCAGUCUGAAGGUCUUUGCUCCCCCUGCCCAAGCAUAGGCACUGGUGCCUUCAAAAGAACAUCCACAUCCUGUUAAAGAGAGAAAAGCUCAAAGGAAAGAGCAGAUGCUGGAGCGUUGCUGUGUCCUGCGUCCUGCUGAGGCGUGUCCCAUGCUGUCACAAGCAUUUCUGAUGAAAAAUUGGAGCAGCUACUGAAGCUGAAGUGACGAAGUGCAAACACCUGUCUGCUGAGAAGCAUUACAGCACCUAGUUUCGCUCACAAGGCAUUCAGAGCUAAGAUCAUUCCUUUUCCUGGCCGCCCGCCAGGUUGUCCCUCUCCUGUAACACCACUGCCUUCGAGGAGCUCAAUUCUCUCUGUCUCUGCAGCUCUCCUGGCUCCAGCUGGCCCAAGCAAGAAGAAAGAAAAGGGGUGAUUUCCCAAACUUGCCUCCCCUGGUCUGAACGGAGCUGACAAAAGUAAGCUGCAGAGCCAGGAGCUCAGCAUUUCACUUCAGCUGUCUCGCUUCCUUUAGCUACUGUGCUGAGUGCUGUUAUUGGACUUGUUGCUCCCAAAAGCAUCACUUUUAGGACUAACUCCAGAAUGACUGUGAAAUAAAGGCAGCUUACGAUCCAGGCAUAGUUCCUAAGGUUUCUAACCCUAUCAGAGCGGUUGAAUAAUGAGAACAAGAGGCAGAAACCAUCUGGAACAAAUCCUUCAGCCUCCAGCACACAGUGUUUUGAUAUUCCCCCGUGACCUGAAAGCCAGUCCAGAGCUACUUCACCUCCCCAAAGCACAGAUGUCCUCACGGAUGGGAAAGCUGUGCCUUUCUAGCACAGCUGAACUCCCCUGCUGCAUGGGAAGAGCUUUUAGAAAAGGUGCAGACAAGAUUUUUUGGUCCAAGGACUUUGUGGGGUAUUCUCUUCACCUUCUGCGGGGGGCUGUGCACAGAAGCGCGGAGAAAUUGUCUGGUAUCCAGAUACUGUCUGGGAAAAUCGGAGAGACUCAGUCUAAACUGUGUCCAGGGGAAAACCAUGCUAACGGCCACUUAGCAAGGCUGAAUGUCCUUGGCAGCUAUUAAUUAUUAUCAGCCCUUUACUUCGACAGAGUGUGUGAGAGGCUUUCGAAUGCAGCAUUCCACAAUCCCUGCACAAGCGAUUAUUGAUUUGGCACCAAAAAAAAAUAAAAAAUAAAAAACGAGGGUGAUAAGUUUCUGUUUGGAGUGGGCUGGAAGGACAUAAAUAAAACCAUAAAGUCAGGAAA